AGAGUUGGCCGAACAGUCGCUGGUUUGCGUUUCGCGCAAACUGGAGGAAAGUCCGGGCUCCACAGGGCGAAGUGCCAGGUAACGCCUGGGAGGCGCGAGCCUACGGAAAGUGCAACAGAAAAUAAACCGCCUCGCGCCUAUCUUCUAACUGACCUUAAGGGCCUCAGGCCCAGAUCAUAUAGCGGAUAGGCGCUCGGUAAGGGUGAAACGGUGUGGUAAGAGCGCACCGCACGGUCGGUAACGGUACGUGGCUAGGUAAACCCCACUUGGAGCAAGAUCAAAUAGGAAAGCAUACGCACGGCCCGUGCGGCUUUCGGGUAGAUCGCUUGAGCCAUAAGGUGACUUGUGGCCUAGAUGAAUGACUGUUCUCGACAGAACCCGGCUUACAGGCCGACUCUUGUG
RNAcentral lists this RNase P RNA (402 nucleotides) under Methylococcales bacterium. RNAcentral describes it as "RNase P RNA component class A". It matches the Rfam family "Bacterial RNase P class A". Rfam says of the family: Ribonuclease P (RNase P) is a ubiquitous endoribonuclease, found in archaea, bacteria and eukarya as well as chloroplasts and mitochondria. Its best characterised activity is the generation of mature 5'-ends of tRNAs by cleaving the 5'-leader elements of precursor-tRNAs. The record is from RNAcentral. Lineage: Bacteria; Pseudomonadati; Pseudomonadota; Gammaproteobacteria; Methylococcales.